Hemicordylus capensis (graceful crag lizard) is the source of this 1047-nucleotide long non-coding RNA. RefSeq lists it as uncharacterized. The record is from RefSeq and is a predicted model, not a curated record. Lineage: Eukaryota; Metazoa; Chordata; Lepidosauria; Squamata; Cordylidae. The transcript is spliced from 2 exons.
UCAGGAAAACCGGGAUUUAGGGACGGCUUUGGCUCAGUGGAAUGGCUUUAGCCUUGGCUGCAAAAGGGAACGGAAGGGAAGAGUUUCACUGCGUAAGUGUAAUGAAAUGGGAGCCUUUUCUAAUGGGAAUAGUUUCGUUUAAAAUGGGUGAUUUACUGAAAUGAGAAGCAAGUUAACGAUCCUUAACGUGGAAUGGACUUUUUUCUUUCUUGCCGUGUGUCUUGUUUUUCACAUUGUACUUUUUAGAACUUUUCAUCGAAGUCUUAAAGGAUUGUUUAUCCCCCGCUCCGGUACAAUUUGUAACAAUAGCUGCAGUUUUGGACCUACACUUUCCAGGGUCGGAGACAUUAUAAAGGCACCGCUCACGUUUAAGUGCCAGAAAUCUCCCCUUGACUUAUUCAGCAAUUUCCCCUGGAUUUUUAAUGCUUUGCUUUUGAGCCCAGGGCGCAUUUGCCAUCUCAGUUCUUCGGACUUCACAAGGUCGGCUUUUUGUUGUCUAAUCUAGCUCAGCCUGAUGAUACGUAUAAAUAAAACGUGUGCUAUGCCAUUGUGGACUGCAAACCUCGACUGGAAAUUACGAGUUCUGGGUUCAAAUUCUCUUCGCCCAUAGCGUCGCACGCUGAAUGGCGAGACCUUCUCUCUCAAGGCGAUCUUGAGCGUCUAUCCGCCUCUCUGAAAGGAACGAACUGAAAUAGGCGCAGGGUUGUCUUGUCUCUUCUGGACCACUUCAGAAAAGAAAAUUCGUGUUCUAACGUGAAAACACACGGUACUACUGAGAGCCGAUUCUCACGUUACAGAAAGGCAAACCCGGGUUUCUGCCACCAGUUCUAUACUCAACAGGGAGCUUCAGCCAAGCAUAGCCCUUGAUCCCUGUACCUGCCUGAAACUCGUCUCGGUUGUGGUAUUUAUUUUUAUAUGUUUAGCCUUUAGGGAAAGAAGGUCACCCGCCUAAUCUCCAGACUCCUCUCUCUACAAACUGCAAGAGCACUGAGCUCGAAGGGCACGGCAGUUCAACGGCAAAAUUUAAGUAAAAAAGUAAAAUCCUUG